UUGAAGAGGACAUGACAAAGCCUGGAGUUUCUAUUGCAUCUAGUACCUUUCUUUCUCCAAAAGAUGUUGUUUCUUUCCUCCAGAGGCUUUCACAAGUGGAUAAACAGAACUUCACGCCCAGUGCUGCAGAAGAGUGGGACAAAAAGUAUAUUGAGCUUCUCUAUGGUCUUUGUGCAGAUUCAAACAAGUAUGCUCAUUCUUUGCGUCACGAAGUUUUCCAGAAGGUAGAGAGGCAAUAUUUGCUUGGGAUACGGGCAAAAGAUCCUGAAAUGAGAAUGAAGUUUUUUACUCUUUAUCAUGAAUCCCUUGGGAGAAUGUUGUUCACAAGAUUGCAGUACAUCAUCCAAAUUCAGGAUUGGGAAGCUUUGAGUGAUGUAUUUUGGCUGAAG
This 389-nucleotide unclassified non-coding RNA is filed under the name Hevea brasiliensis (rubber tree). Lineage: Eukaryota; Viridiplantae; Streptophyta; Magnoliopsida; Malpighiales; Euphorbiaceae. The record is from RNAcentral.